UACGUAGGGGGCGAGCGUUGUCCGGAUUUACUGGGCGUAAAACGCUUGUAGGCGGCCACGCCAAGUCGGACGUGAAAUCUCCCGGCUUAACUGGGAGGGGUCGUUCGAUACUGGCGGGCUCGAGGCAGGUAGGGGGAAGCGGAAUUCCCGGUGUAGUGGUGGAAUGCGUAGAUAUCGGGAGGAACACCAGUGGCGAAGGCGGCUUCCUGGACCUGUUCUGACGCUGAGGAGCGAAAGCGUGGGGAGCGAUCCGG
RNAcentral lists this ribosomal RNA (254 nucleotides) under uncultured bacterium. RNAcentral describes it as "partial 16S ribosomal RNA". It matches the Rfam family "Bacterial small subunit ribosomal RNA", at positions 524 to 776 of the family's 1533-position model. The record is from RNAcentral.